This 403-nucleotide ribosomal RNA is filed under the name uncultured bacterium. RNAcentral's name for it is "partial 16S ribosomal RNA". It matches the Rfam family "Bacterial small subunit ribosomal RNA", at positions 28 to 526 of the family's 1533-position model. The record is from RNAcentral.
GACGAACGCUGGCGGCGUGCCUAAUACAUGCAAGUCGAACGCAGUGGGGACGGGUGAGUAACACGUGGGCAACCUCCCAUCAGAGGGGAUAACACUUGGAAACAGGUGCUAAACCGAUACUGAUGGAUGGACCCGCGGUGCAUUAGCAAGUUGGUGAGGUAACGGCUCACCAAGGCCACGAUGCAUAGGAGACCUGGGAGGGUGAUCGGCCACACUGAGACGGAGACACGACCCAGACUACUACGGGAGGCAGCAGUAGGGAAUCUUCGGCAAUGGACGAAAGUCUGACCGAGCAACGCAACGUGAGGAAAGAAGGUUUUCAAAGCGUAGAACUCUGUUGUUAAAGCAGCGAUAUCUAACCAGAAAGCCACGGCUAACUACGUGCCAGCAGCCGCGGUAAUAC